Small nuclear RNA from Toxorhynchites rutilus septentrionalis, 137 nucleotides. RefSeq annotates it as U4 spliceosomal RNA. Lineage: Eukaryota; Metazoa; Arthropoda; Insecta; Diptera; Culicidae. The transcript has a single exon. The record is from RefSeq and is a predicted model, not a curated record.
AGCUUUGCGCUGUGGCGAUAUCGUAACAAUGAGGUUAUACCGAGGUGCGAUCAUUGCUAACUAAAAAAAAACUAUUUAAUAGUGUGUCAAGUUUUCUACAAGGAAUUAUAACAGUUUUAUUCUGAUAAUUGUUUUAU